UUACGGGAGGCAGCAGUGGGGAAUCUUGCGCAAUGGGCGAAAGCCUGACGCAGCGACGCCGCGUGGGGGAUGAAGCUUUUCGGAGCGUAAACCCCUUUCGACCGGGACGAAUGCCCGCAAGGGCUUGACGGUACCGGUAGAAGAAGCCCCGGCUAACUACGUGCCAGCAGCCGCGGUAAAACGUAGGGGGCCAGCGUUGCUCGGAAUUACUGGGCGUAAAGGGUCUGUAGGCGGUGCGGCAAGUCGGAAGUGAAAUCGCAGGGCUUAACUCUGCGGCUGCUUCCGAAACUGCCGUGCUCGAGUGUGAGAUAGGCGAGUGGAAUUGCAGGUGUAGCGGUGAAAUGCGUAGAUAUCUGCAGGAACAUCCGAGGCGAAAGCGGCUCGCUGGAUCACAACUGACGCUGAGAGACGAAAGCUAGGGGAGCAAACAGGAUUAGAUACCCCGGU
RNAcentral lists this ribosomal RNA (447 nucleotides) under uncultured bacterium. Its description in RNAcentral is "bacterial SSU rRNA". It matches the Rfam family "Bacterial small subunit ribosomal RNA", at positions 339 to 791 of the family's 1533-position model. The record is from RNAcentral.